This 21-nucleotide non-coding RNA is filed under the name Caenorhabditis elegans. Lineage: Eukaryota; Metazoa; Nematoda; Chromadorea; Rhabditida; Rhabditidae. The record is from RNAcentral.
UACGGCUGAAUCAAGUACAGC